GUUUUGGGGGGGGUGCUGAGUGCAGGGGGAUCCUAGGAGGCAGUGGUGUGCUGGGGCUCUACCUGUGUGUGCUUCUCUUCCCAGCAGCUUUCAUUGACAUCACGGUUGGCGCCUACGCCCUCGGUGAGGGUAUUUACAGAAUAGUACAGAGCUGAGCCUUAAUUUUUUUCUCCAAGAGCAGGCUAUUAACAUUUACCAUCACACCACGUCCAAAUCUCCUAAAUGGGUUUCUAAAGCCAGAAGAAAAGCACCACCACUUCUCCAUUGGUCUCUCCCUGGGGCUGAUCUGUGGCUGCUUUCUGUCCCUGUCGAGAUGCCCUAGGAGUCCCUCCUGAGCCAUCAUAGUUUGAGGCAUUUCCCCAACCCUGGCCCUGGAAUGCAGACUCUGGCUGCCUGGGCUGGAAUCCCACCACGUGUACCAGCCGUGUGCGUUUUGCAACUUGGUCUCUUCAAGCCAUAGUCUGAACGUUUAUAAAACUGGAACAUGGAUUCCUCACGGUGUUGGAGGGGGGAGUUAAGUGAGAAUCCGCGUAGAGCACGCGGCACACACCGAACAGCACAGAGUCGGGCGGGCGGGGGGACGUGAGCGCUGACCUCGGCGCCCCCGCCUCCCGCCCGGCAGGCUCCCGGCUUUCGCUAACCUGCAGGAGGCGCUGCUGGAGAACAUGAUCCAGAACAUCUUGGUGGAGGCGAGCCGCGGAGAGGUGGUGCUCACCUCGCGGCCGCGCGUCAUCGCCCUGCCACCGCUCAGCGUUCCCAGGAUGCUGACUCCCGACUUGCUGCCCGCGGCGCCCCCGGGGCCGCAGCAAGGGGAUACGAGCGGCACCACGGCACUGCCCCCUACCGACUAUUCGCAGACACCAGCACACAGUCCCCCCUCCGACCUGCACCUCUAGGUUCCUACCGGCGCUCUCUCCGUCACCCCGCCAGUAAAGGAUCCAGCCUUUUUUUCUAUAUCUGCCUUGACUUUAUUUCUCCGAUGCGACAAAAACGCGAGCGCGCGGCCUGAGAGGGACAGACGGUAGAAGCGG
Molecule: long non-coding RNA, 1031 nt
Filed under: Sus scrofa (pig)
Lineage: Eukaryota; Metazoa; Chordata; Mammalia; Artiodactyla; Suidae
Description: lncRNA (ENSSSCG00015049154.1)
Source: RNAcentral